UACGUAGGUGGCAAGCGUUGUCCGGAAUUAUUGGGCGUAAAGCGCGCGCAGGUGGUUUAAUAAGUCUGAUGUAAAAGCCCACGGCUCAACCGUGGAAGGUCAUUGGAAACUGUUAAACUUGAGUGCAGGAGAGAAAAGUGGGAUUCCUAGUGUAGCGGUGAAAUGCGCAGAUAUUAGGAGGAAUACCGGCGGCGAAGGCGACUUUCUGGUCUGCAACUGACGCUGAUGUGCGAAAGCGUGGGGAUCAAACAGG
Molecule: ribosomal RNA, 253 nt
Filed under: uncultured bacterium
Lineage: Bacteria
Description: partial 16S ribosomal RNA
Rfam family: Bacterial small subunit ribosomal RNA
Source: RNAcentral